CAGUGAGGACACAGCCUGGUCACUGAGGUCAGAGGAGGCGCUGGAAGGUUUCCCUAAUAGUUCCUGGUGAAUCAAAGCAGAACCAUAAAGGUUGCUGGACUGCAUGAUGGCCUUACCCCUGAGCAGUCAUCCUGUUAAAGGAGGAACCAGUUAGAAGCUGUUUUCAAAGUAGCUGAGCAGAUUUCAUCUCAACAGACAAAGCCGAUGGCAGAAGAUGUUUGGAGAAGAACUUCAGGUCG
Oreochromis aureus is the source of this 239-nucleotide long non-coding RNA. RefSeq lists it as uncharacterized. The record is from RefSeq and is a predicted model, not a curated record. The transcript has 3 exons. Lineage: Eukaryota; Metazoa; Chordata; Actinopteri; Cichliformes; Cichlidae.